Molecule: ribosomal RNA, 253 nt
Filed under: uncultured bacterium
Lineage: Bacteria
Description: partial 16S ribosomal RNA
Rfam family: Bacterial small subunit ribosomal RNA
Source: RNAcentral
UACGUAGGGUGCGAGCGUUAAUCGGAAUUACUGGGCGUAAAGCGUGCGCAGGCGGUUCGUGAUGUCUGAUGUGAAAGCCCCGGGCUCAACCUGGGAAUUGCAUUGGAAACUAGCGGGCUGGAGUGUGGCAGAGGGAGGUGGAAUUCCACGUGUAGCGGUGAAAUGCGUAGAGAUGUGGAGGAACACCGAUGGCGAAGGCAGCCUCCUGGGCCAAUACUGACGCUCAUGCACGAAAGCGUGGGGAGCAAACAGG